UCUGCAGCACGGCUGCGCUGGCUGCAGAAUCCUUCCUCGUUAGUCUGGUGUUUGCUGCGCCGCGGUGCGCAUGUCAGAUUUCGGCAUUAAAGCCUUCAUCCGGGUUACCGCUGUUCCUGUCGAGGAUACGAAUGGUGCCCAGACGGCCCAGCGUUAUAAAAUGUACAUGCUAUCCUUGAAAAAUUUGUUAGACUUAUCAGUAUAUGAAGCCGAUUCUGCACCAGAACCAGGUUCAGUAAAUUUUCGUAAAAUUUACCAUGGCCCUGUCCUUUCCAAAGUGCAUUUUAAAAGUACUAGUAAAAAAAUUUCAAAAAUUUGUACUACGUAGUUAGUGCAGGUCGUCGGUUACCGUCACGACUUCAAACAGUCAGGCGACAAUGUGACUCCUGCUGGUCCUGAUUUUUUCUAGCACUGCAUGAAAUGAGAAAUCGGUUAAGCGUUCAGUCGCGCAGCGUCCGCUUUUUUUGUGGUAGGUUGUGGCAAACCGCUGUCUUUGGGACUUUGGUGAAGGCGGGUUCUCCAUGGAGGUGGAGAUGCUGGCCCAGACAUGUGUCGGCGCUGCCGCCACCGUUGACCGCAUCGUCUGGCGCAACUGUCGCUUUCGCGGUAUUGGCGGCAAACAUAGCGAGUGCACUAUGGUGCAUGACGUCACAGCGAUCCACGGGACGCUGUUGGAGAUGCAGACGGAGUUGUAUGCGCUGGUCGAGCGGAAUUUGUCGUGGAAGAAACACUGGAUCCCGCUGAGUGGCUCCGGCUUGAUGCAGUGGAUUGCCAACGAAGCGCGAACCGACGAAAUAUCUUUCACUAGCGCCAAAGUUAAACAGAUUUUGAAAACCUAUCAAGCCAACGAUCCCCGUGUAACGAAUCGCUACCGUUGGAAGUUUAACUGGGCCGCCGAAGAGCUGUUUGAUUUAGAAAUGACUUCGCUGUCCACUCUGACGUUGUGGGUACUUACCUUGGCCAUGCUGUACCGAUUCCAGCGGAAUGAGUGACCGUUUCAACUGCGUUUGAUGCUUGAUAAGCGACAGAGUGAAGCAAGCUAAGAUUUUGUUGCAACUACAUAUAUAAAAGCUUUGAAUAUAGCAAGUUGACUUCUUAAUCAACUGCAUCCAGUUCGCGCUUUGAUAAGACUGUGCAAUUGACUACUAAAUAAGGUUAUUAAUGUAAUCCAUUAAUGGCUAAUUAACCAAAAAAAUUAGGGUAGCGCAUUUAAUACAGCCUUUUGUUAAGGCUGUAUUAAAUGCCAGACGUUUAAUUGUAAAACCAUCACUUCAACAAAUUUCAAAAAACAAUUGCAAAAUAUUUAAAUGUUGGAAGAAUUAACAAUCAUUCGCAUAUCGGAUUUGGAAGUAGAAGAGAAACUGGUGCUGAAACAGCAGCAUUUAAAUAAGAAGCAAAAGCAAAAAUAUUUCCUAUAAGUUUUCGUGAUCCGGUAGUGUGCCCACUGCCCAUCCCGCACACAGCGCUUCCUCUUUGUAUCUGAAUGGAAAUCCUCUGCCGGCAAAAUUCUUUCGCGUGGCGUUGUGUCAUCCUGUGGCGACUGCGAUAUGGUGUCCUGCUUUAUCAACUGCAGGUUCUUGGCUCCGCCUCUUCAAGUCUUUCUCGUUUCGGAAGCCGGUAACGCGUGGAUCCGGUAUCCAGAUUCGGGUGUCGACAUGGCUUUUAAAUGCGCGACUUCGACGUCAAUGACAGCGAACAGCAGAAAGGUUUGAGAGGGCGCGUAAGGU
Paramacrobiotus metropolitanus is the source of this 1727-nucleotide long non-coding RNA. RefSeq lists it as uncharacterized. The transcript has 3 exons. The record is from RefSeq and is a predicted model, not a curated record. Lineage: Eukaryota; Metazoa; Tardigrada; Eutardigrada; Parachela; Macrobiotidae.